UGGGUUGCCCGGGACUCGAACCCGGAACUAGUCGG
Molecule: transfer RNA, 35 nt
Filed under: Fragaria iinumae
Lineage: Eukaryota; Viridiplantae; Streptophyta; Magnoliopsida; Rosales; Rosaceae
Also listed under: 27 other names
Description: partial tRNA-Lys
Source: RNAcentral